Molecule: ribosomal RNA, 448 nt
Filed under: uncultured bacterium
Lineage: Bacteria
Description: bacterial SSU rRNA
Rfam family: Bacterial small subunit ribosomal RNA
Source: RNAcentral
UGGGGAAUCUUGGACAAUGGGCGCAAGCCUGAUCCAGCCAUGCCGCGUGAGUGAUGAAGGCCUUAGGGUUGUAAAGCUCUUUUUGCCGGGGACGAUAAUGACGGUACCCGGAGAAUAAGUCCCGGCUAACUUCGUGCCAGCAGCCGCGGUAAUACGAAGGGGACUAGCGUUGUUCGGAAUCACUGGGCGUAAAGCGUGCGUAGGCGGGUCUUUAAGUCAGAGGUGAAAUCCUGGAGCUCAACUCCAGAACUGCCUUUGAUACUGAGGAUCUUGAGUUCGGGAGAGGUGAGUGGAACUGCGAGUGUAGAGGUGAAAUUCGUAGAUAUUCGCAAGAACACCAGUGGCGAAGGCGGCUCACUGGCCCGAUACUGACGCUGAGGCACGAAAGCGUGGGGAGCAAACAGGAUUAGAUACCCACGUAGUCCCUGAGCGGGCUGGCAAGGCGCAU